Molecule: long non-coding RNA, 1853 nt
Filed under: Elaeis guineensis (African oil palm)
Lineage: Eukaryota; Viridiplantae; Streptophyta; Magnoliopsida; Arecales; Arecaceae
Description: long non-coding RNA (EGUI_LNC043603)
Source: RNAcentral
GGGGUUUAGAUUAUUACUCAAAAUUCCUUCCUUCUAUGUUGUAUCAAUUUCACUUGGUACCAUGAUGCUUACCCUCUUGUUAGUUUUCGCAGCUCCCUUUGCAUUUAUAAUAUUCAAUCUAACACAGGUCAGAACUAUCAAUUCAUCUACUUGGGCUACUUCUUGGCCUCUACAAGCACAGGAUCUAUAACGCCAUAUGAAGGCACUCAAAGUUGCAAGCUUAUGGUCACUUAUCUAUACUUGAAAGCUGCUGAUUUAUUUUCCCAUGACACUAAGAAUCAAUCACAUGUAAUAGGCUCUUCCUUAUUAUUUGUAAUCCUCUCUUGUUUUCUGGUAUGGCAAAAUUUUCCACUCAACAUGUUCAUCUUUAAUGGUGCUUAGCUAGGGGCCUCAGCUAGUCAAAUAACCCACUAUUCACUAUUCCUCCGACAAUAAUCACACUAAUUAGUAUUUCUAUUAUUCUGUGUUAUAGAGUUGAGAGUUAUAUUUUCAUGCUUGAAGACUGUCCCCUCACUUACAAUGACCAAAUUGAUUCUGUUGAGGGCCAUUAGUUCUACAUGGUCUAUCUUUUUGGCUUUUAUAAACAAGAAAUUUACUCGAUCAUCAAAACAAGGCUGUAACAGGAACAAGGCACCUCAUCUACAAUUUAGUGCUGCUAACUUGUGACCCUAUGAAGCUGGAAAUUGUUCAUGGGUAGCAGAUGUUGCAUUUGACGGUCGGCCUUUCUCUCAUGUCUCUCAGAUUCUAAAGUUUUUUGCUCAAUCAGAUCCAGCCUUCGCUGACAUUUGCUGAUGGAUAUCAUUUAGUCAAUUAAUUCUCCUUUCACUCCACUCACAGCACUCACUAUAUUUUGGAGUUAAACCACUUUGUGUUAUGAUGUUGAUACUUCCAUUUCUGUAUCUGAAGGGUUUGUAACUUUAUAUAACUAGUAUAGGUGUGUUCUGGAUGUUUUUUCUGUUUCUUGCAACAUAGCUCAGCUCUUCUUUUGACCAAAUAAUAAUAAUAAUAAUAAACUACAUUUUUUCUUGUGCAAAAUAAUUUGCUCUUUAUUAUAGUUAUUUUAAUGCAUGCUUGGCUGUAUAGGCAAAUCCGAUCAGAGAAUAUUGUUUUUGUUUAAUUUGUGGCAAGUACAUACAUUGCAUGUUCGAAAAGCUCCAUGCUUUUACUUUCUUUCAGUUAUAGUUGCAUGAGAAGACAAAAAGAGAGGAUGCUAAAGAUAGACAUCUGAAGAAUUGGUGCACUGGACCCAUGAGGAGUGGCAAUAUGAGAAACACCAGGAGACACAACUAUUCAUAUGCAUCAUAAUCAAAAUAGCACUACUUAAAAUAUAUCAAAAUUGAUGUUGUGGAUUGGAACUAAACACUUGAAAAUAGAUGUGUUUUCAUUAGAGUCAUCCAUCGAGUCAAAGAAAGUGUUCCUUUCUCCAACAAUUGCACUUGGAUUUGAAAAGGUUAAACAAAUAAAAUAUCAGGAUAAUUUAAAAAUUAAGGGUUAUGUGGAUUUUUCUAUAGGAUUGGGCUGAAAUGCAAGAUUCAUAGUUUGUGCCCCCUAUUGAACCAUGGCUCUGUCAACCAAAUAUCCCUAGCCCAAAUUCUGUAGAAAGAAAAAAAAAAUCACCAUAGAUUUUUUUUUUGUAACAAUCUCAAGGCUAUGAUUGGCUGGGAUUUGGACGGCCUUUAAAAAUGAAGCUAGAUAGGCCAAUAAGCUUGAUUCUGGAUUUUCAGUCCGAUCCUAUAAUAAUAUUCUAAUAGGCCCUAAAAAGUUAAAGCUGGCUAGAGCCUUGCGGAUCAAUAUACUUAAUAAUUUUUUUAAUAAAAAAAAAGUUUUUUAUAUAAUAAAUAUAAUAUUAAUCU